This 919-nucleotide long non-coding RNA is filed under the name Salmo salar (Atlantic salmon). Its description in RNAcentral is "lncRNA (ENSSSAG00000112696.1)". The record is from RNAcentral. Lineage: Eukaryota; Metazoa; Chordata; Actinopteri; Salmoniformes; Salmonidae.
AAAUGGCGCCGAAGAGGAUGGCUGAUGUUUUACAUGCCCAUAACCAAUUGUGCUAUUUUGUCAAUUUUUUUGCGUUGUUUGUAACUUAUUUUUUAACUUAUUUUGUACAUAAUGUUGCUGCUACCGUCUCUUAUGACCGAAAAUAACUUCUGAACAUCAGAACUGGGAUUACUCACCACGAACUGGAAGAAGCUGUUUUCUUUAACGAGUCCGACGAGAAACAUAUACUGCUCUCCCGUGAACAGGCCCAGAUCCCCAUCAUUUGUGUGAAGAAAAGACGGAGGAAAAGAGGACGCAGAUCGGGCUGCCUUUUGAGAAUCCCUAGGCGAGCGAGUAAACUCCCACUGCCAUCAAUUCUACUUGCUAACAUGCAAUCAUUGGAAAAUAAAAUUGAUGACCUACGAUUAUCCUACCAACGGGACAUUAAGAACUGUAAUAUCUUAUGUUUCACAGAGUCGUGGCUGAACGACGACACGGAUAACAUAGAGCUGGAGGGAUUUUCAAUUCACCGGCAGAACAGAGAAGCUACGUCUGGUAAAGCGAGGGGUGAGGUACCAGGGGGUCAUGGCAGAUUGAUCAUGAUAGACCUGGCUGACAGUAUAAAGGGGACCAGUAGAACCACUGACAGCAGAACUGAACGGCCUGAGUCAGAGCUGGGCAGUGAUAUCCUGGCCUUAAUCAACAAUGGAAACAAAAACAUCCCUAACAGGGACAAUAAAGUGACCAUGCUGCUACAGGAGUCUCUGGGUAAUAUUUUAACUGUCGUACGACCGUGCUGGCCCAUGUGACUGACUUACCAGAACACUGCUCAGAGACACUGUCAACUGUCCAGAUCACCUCACGCAUUCGUAGGACACAGAAGAAGGCAAAAAUAUGUAAAUGACUGAAUUAGAGAUUUCUUACCAUGGUGCCAAUAAUG